RNAcentral lists this transfer RNA (72 nucleotides) under Pentatomidae sp. GM-2014. RNAcentral describes it as "tRNA-Tyr". The record is from RNAcentral. Lineage: Eukaryota; Metazoa; Arthropoda; Insecta; Hemiptera; Pentatomidae.
AAUAAGGUGACUGAAGUAUUUUAGGUGAUAAAUUGUAAAUUUAUUUAUGGUAUAUAUAAUUACCCCUUAUUA